UACGGGGGGGGCAAGCGUUGUUCGGAUUUAUUGGGCGUAAAGAGCUCGUAGGUGGUUCGGUAAGUCGGAUGUGAAAUCUCCAGGCUCAACCUGGAGGGGUCAUUCGAUACUGCCGUGACUAGAGUUCGGUAGGGGAGUGUGGAAUUCCUGGUGGAGCGGUGAAAUGCGCAGAUAUCAGGAGGAACACCGAUGGCGAAGGCAGGUCUCUGGGCAUUAACUGACGCUGAGGAGCGAAAGCAUGGGGAGCGAACAGG
RNAcentral lists this ribosomal RNA (254 nucleotides) under uncultured bacterium. Its description in RNAcentral is "partial 16S ribosomal RNA". It matches the Rfam family "Bacterial small subunit ribosomal RNA", at positions 524 to 776 of the family's 1533-position model. The record is from RNAcentral.